Non-coding RNA from Pelobates cultripes (western spadefoot toad), 225 nucleotides. Lineage: Eukaryota; Metazoa; Chordata; Amphibia; Anura; Pelobatidae. The record is from the annotation of a GenBank genome assembly.
GUACACACUUAAACAUGCACAUAAGAACAAAACAGAGGGUCAGUGGAACUCUGUGCAAGAUGGCAGGAAUAUGGAAUACAUCCAGUUUCUGACAAUUCUAACAUUUAAAUGGUGGUAGGUAUUGGAUGAAGGGGUGUGGCCAGAGUGGGGUGCUGUGAAGAUUUUUUGCACUGGGUUCCUAAAGUCCUAAUACCUGCCCUGCUUGAGUAGAAACCAGAAAUGGAC